UUCUGACCGUAAACGAUGCCAACUAGCGAUCCGCCGGUGGAUUUUUAGCCCUGGUGGGUAGCUUCCCGGAAACGAAAGUCUUCCGGUUCCGGGGGAAGUAUGGUUGCAAAGCUGAAACUUAAAGGAAUUGACGGAAGGGCACCACCAGGAGUGGAGCCUGCGGCUUAAUUUGACUCAACACGGGGAAACUCACCCGGCCCGGACACCGUAAGGAUUGACAGAUUGAUAGCUCUUUCAUGAUUCGGUGGUUGGUGGUGCAUGGCCGUUCUUAGUUCGUGGAUCGAUUUGUCUGGUUUAUUCCGAUAACGAGCGAGACUCUAGCCUACUAAAUAGUAGCGGGAUUAUCACUGUCCCAGUUGCUUCUUAGAGGGAUUUUCGGUGUUUAGCCGCACGAGAUUGAGCAAUAACAGGUCUGUGAUGCCCUUAGAUGUCCGGGGCUGCACGCGCGCUACACUGGCGAAAUCAGCGUGCUUUAUCCAUUCUCGAAAGGGAUUGGUAAACCCAUGAAAAUUUGCCGUGCUUGGGAUCGGAAAUUGCAAUUAUUUUCCGUGAACGAGGAAUUCCAAGUAAGUGCGAGUCAUCAACUCGCUCUG
This 593-nucleotide ribosomal RNA is filed under the name cf. Pseudacrobeles sp. 803U-005. RNAcentral describes it as "SSU rRNA". It matches the Rfam family "Eukaryotic small subunit ribosomal RNA", at positions 1024 to 1643 of the family's 1831-position model. Lineage: Eukaryota; Metazoa; Nematoda; Chromadorea; Rhabditida; Cephalobidae. The record is from RNAcentral.